UACGUAGGCAGCGAGCGUUGUUCGGAGUUACUGGGCGUAAAGAGUGUGUAGGCGGUUUGGUAAGUUUGGUGUGAAAUCUCCCGGCUUAACUGGGAGGGUGCGCCGAAAACUGCCAGACUUGAGUGCCGGAGAGGAAAGCGGAAUUCCUGGUGUAGCGGUGAAAUGCGUAGAUAUCAGGAGGAACACCGGUGGUGUAGACGGCUUUCUGGACGGCCACUGACGCUGAGACACGAAAGCGUGGGUAGCAAACAGG
Molecule: ribosomal RNA, 253 nt
Filed under: uncultured bacterium
Lineage: Bacteria
Description: partial 16S ribosomal RNA
Rfam family: Bacterial small subunit ribosomal RNA
Source: RNAcentral